RNAcentral lists this ribosomal RNA (639 nucleotides) under uncultured bacterium. RNAcentral describes it as "bacterial SSU rRNA". It matches the Rfam family "Bacterial small subunit ribosomal RNA", at positions 202 to 842 of the family's 1533-position model. The record is from RNAcentral.
AAAAACUGAGGUGGUAUACGAUGGUUCCGCGUCUGAUUAGCUAGUUGGUGGGGUAAAAGCCUACCAAGGCAACGAUCAGUAGCCGGCCUGAGAGGGUGAACGGCCACAUUGGGACUGAGACACGGCCCAAACUCCUACGGGAGGCAGCAGUGGGGAAUAUUGCACAAUGGGGGAAACCCUGAUGCAGCGACGCCGCGUGAGUGAAGAAGUAUUUCGGUAUGUAAAGCUCUAUCAGCAGGGAAGAAAUACUGACCAUAGGGUCAGCAGACGGUACUUGACUAAGAAGCCCCGGCUAACUACGUGCCAGCAGCCGCGGUAAUACGUAGGGGGCAAGCGUUAUCCGGAUUUACUGGGUGUAAAGGGAGCGUAGACGGCAGCGCAAGUCUGGAGUGAAAUGCCAGGGCUUAACCCUGGAACUGCUUUGGAAACUGUGCAGCUAGAGUGCAGGAGAGGUAAGUGGAAUUUCUAGUGUAGCGGUGAAAUGCGUAGAUAUUAGGAGGAACACCAGUGGCGAAGGCGGCUUACUGGACUGUAACUGACGUUGAGGCUCGAAAGCGUGGGGAGCAAACAGGAUUAGAUACCCUGGUAGUCCACGCUGUAAACGAUGAUUACUAGGUGUUGGGGGACCAAGGUCCUUCG